AGAACUCAGGCUACAGCUGUGGAACGUGUGUUUCUUCCAACCAGUGAAGACCGGACGCCAUUCCUUCAUGCUACUGGGUUCUUGCAGCUGUAAUUUACAACACAGCUGUCAUAUCUGUGACAUCUGGGCCAGCUCCUCUGUGCCCAACCUCAGCCCUGUUCAGUUUGCCCCUGUACCCCCAAUUCUCCCCAGUAGCCAUCCCUGAACUGCACUUUCUAACUGCGGGAUUGCCCUUGAGUUGGGCUGCUGGAUCCUCCCUCACCCUUGCCUGACGCAGGAAGACAGUCAUCCUCACAGAAGACGAAGUUCAGUUCCACAGCUCGGCCUCAGAUCACAAGGGCGUGAGGAUUAAAGAGAGGAUACCACAGUCGCAAUUCCAGAUUCCUUGAGAUGGAGACCAGGUCUCAAGAGCAGUGCACAGUUUGAAGCACGUGGCAGAUUCUCAAGCAAAAAGAGGAGUUGAAGAUGGAACCAUUGUGAUGGGAAGCUCUGAUUCAUCAAUCGUGAACCACAGCACUCCUCACUUACUCCAUUGUUGACCAAUUUUAACAAGUGGUACGGUUUUCAAAAGCAAGAAGUGGAAGAGCAGGCAUUAAUUCUAAGCCCGGAAAGUGGGAGCAGGAAUUCCAGCACUUUGAGAGGCCAAGGCGGGAAGAUCACCUGAUGUCAGGAGUUCAAGAGCAGCCUGGCCAACGUGGCAAAACCCCAUCUCCACUGAAAAUACAAAAAUUAGCCAGGCGUAGCAGUGCAGGCCUGUAAUCCCAGCUACUUAGGAGGCUGAGGCACAAGAAUUGAUUGAACCUAAGAGGUGGAGGUUGCAGUGAGCCGAGAUCAUGCCACUGCACUCCAGCUUGGGUGACAGAGCAAAACUCAGUCUCAAAAAAAAAGAAUUCCAAAUCAUGAGAAUGAUGACUUGAAAUCGUUGUUCUUGUUCUGCAUCUUUUGUUUAUUUGUUUGUUUUUGUUUUGUUUUGUUGUUCAGUAAAAUGGCAUGGAAUUUUAUUUUAAGUGCUGUGAUACAUGUGCAGGAUGUGCAGGUUUGUUACAUAGGUAAACGUGUGCCCUGAUGGUUUGCCGCACCUAUCAACCCAUCAUCUAGGUAUUAAGACCCACAUGCAUUAGCUAUUUAUCUUGAUGCUUUCCCUUCCCCUACCCGACCUCCUGACAGGCCCCAGUGUGUGUUGUUCUCCUCCCUGUGUCUAUGUGUUCUCACUUUCAGCUCCCAUUUAUAAGUGAGAAGAUGCGGUGUUCGGUUUUCUGUUCCUGUGUUAGUUUGCUGAGGAUAACGGCUUCCAGUUUCAUCCAUUUCCCUGCAAAGAACAUGAUCUUGUUUCUUUUUAUGGCUGCAUAAUAUUCCAUGAUGUACAUGUACCACAUUGUCUUUAUUCAGUCUAUCAUUGAUGGGCAUUUGUGUUGAUUCCAUGUCUUUGCUAUUAUGAAUAGUGCUUCAAUAAACAUACGUG
Molecule: long non-coding RNA, 1462 nt
Filed under: Homo sapiens (human)
Lineage: Eukaryota; Metazoa; Chordata; Mammalia; Primates; Hominidae
Description: HSALNT0157568
Source: RNAcentral